This is a long non-coding RNA of Amblyraja radiata (thorny skate), 304 nucleotides long. RefSeq lists it as uncharacterized. The transcript has 2 exons. Lineage: Eukaryota; Metazoa; Chordata; Chondrichthyes; Rajiformes; Rajidae. The record is from RefSeq and is a predicted model, not a curated record.
GAGCAGGUUUACCAGGGAGGGGCAGGUAUGCUCGGGUACAGGCAAGGUCAGCAGGAGAGGAAUGGUGCCUCGUGUCCACCAGAGUAAGCAGGCUUGGGGCCUUGCCCAUGCAACAGGGCCACAGAGGGACAGAGAUGGGGUCACUAGGCCUGUGGUACAGGUGCGUCAAGAGUUAGUGCCGCUUCACUGUUUAACUCAAUGGCUGGCAUCCUUCCCCAUCAGAAAGAAGCUGGUCACAAGCAAAGAAUUAAUAUUGACGUUUCUUUCCUCAGUCGUAACCAAAGUCACUACAAGUCAUAUUUAA